RNAcentral lists this long non-coding RNA (407 nucleotides) under Cyanistes caeruleus (blue tit). RNAcentral describes it as "lncRNA (ENSCCEG00000017576.1)". Lineage: Eukaryota; Metazoa; Chordata; Aves; Passeriformes; Paridae. The record is from RNAcentral.
AAAUAAACAGCCACCGAGCCCUGGAGGUGCUGCAGUCACCCUCCAGAGGGAAAUGUCACAGUGGCAGGCUCCUUUCCCUGGGUAAACUGACCUCAGGGUUUCCAGGGAGGUUUCUGCCUCAGCUGAGACACAAGAGCAGCCACUUCACCUCUGUGUUCUGGGGAGAGAUUGACAGGAAAAUGUCUUCAGAGCAAACGCACGCCAGAUGGAAUGAAAACGGUUUAUUGGAGUAUGGAGGUGCUGCUGAACUGAAUAGAGGGCGGGUUUAAGAGCAAAGGCAGGAGAACAGCCAUAAAUGGGAAGAAACAGCACAAAAGAAAGGAAGAAAAUACAACUCUAAACUGUGAAUCUCCCUGACAUAUUUUCAUUAUCAGCCUAGUCAAUGAAGAAUGCCACAAAGGAAAGGA